This 482-nucleotide ribosomal RNA is filed under the name uncultured bacterium. Its description in RNAcentral is "partial 16S ribosomal RNA". It matches the Rfam family "Bacterial small subunit ribosomal RNA", at positions 28 to 507 of the family's 1533-position model. The record is from RNAcentral.
GACGAACGCUGGCGGCGUGCUUAACACAUGCAAGUCGAACGAUGAAGACGAGAAACGCGAACUUCGGUUCAAAUUUCACUUCGGAUUAGUGGCAGACGGGUGAGUAACGCGUGAGCAACCUACCUCUUACAAAGGGAUAGCCUCGGGAAACCGUGAUUAAUACCAUAUGACACAUUCAUAAGGCAUCUUCAGAAUGUUAAAGCUACGGCGGUAAGCGAUGGGCUCGCGUCCCAUUAGCUAGUUGGUGAGGUAACGGCCCACCAAGGCGACGAUGGGUAACCGGGCUGAGAGGGGGAACGGUCACAUUGGAACUGAGACACGGUCCAAACUCCGACGGGAGGCAGCAGUGGGGAAUAUUGCACAAUGGAGGGAACUCUGAUGAAGCGACGCCGCGGGAGAGAUGAAGGAAUUCGUUUCGUAAAGCUCUGUUCGAUGGGAAGAAAAGGACUGUACCAUAGGAGAAAGCCCCGGCUAAAUACGUG